RNAcentral lists this non-coding RNA (148 nucleotides) under Homo sapiens (human). Lineage: Eukaryota; Metazoa; Chordata; Mammalia; Primates; Hominidae. The record is from Rfam by way of RNAcentral.
GCCGGGCGUGGUGGUGCACGCCUGUAAUCCCAGCUACUUGGGAGGCUGAGGCAGGAGAAUCGCUUGAAGCCAGGAGGUGGAGGUUGCAGUGAGCUGAGAUCACGCCACUGCACUCCAGCCUGGGCAACACGGCAAGACUCUGUCUCAA